CGGGGCUUAAAGUCUUGUAAUUGGAAUGAUGGGAAUUUAAACCUCUUCCAGAGUAUCAAUUGGAGGGCAAGUCUGGUGCCAGCAGCCGCGGUAAUUCCAGCUCCAAUAGCGUAUAUUAAAAUUGUUGCAGUUAAAAAGCUCGUAGUUGAAUUUCUGCUGCAUUGCUUGUGUCCCUCUGGGGUCUGUGCAUGUGGCUUUUUUCGGACAGAGUUUCUUUGUCUGAAUGUUUACUUUGAGAAAAUUAGAGUGCUCAAAGCAGGCUUUCGCCUUGAAUAGUUUAGCAUGGAAUAAUAAAGUAGGACUUUGGUUCUAUUUUGUUGGUUUUAGGUACCAAAGUAAUGGUUAAUAGGAACAGUUGGGGGCAUUCGUAUUUAACUGUCAGAGGUGAAAUUCUUAGAUUUGUUAAAGACGAACUACUGCGAAAGCAUUUGCCAAGGAUGUUUUCAUUAAUCAAGAAC
This 458-nucleotide ribosomal RNA is filed under the name Theileria annulata. RNAcentral's name for it is "SSU rRNA". It matches the Rfam family "Eukaryotic small subunit ribosomal RNA", at positions 486 to 984 of the family's 1831-position model. The record is from RNAcentral. Lineage: Eukaryota; Apicomplexa; Aconoidasida; Piroplasmida; Theileriidae.